GUCACUGUCGUUUUGAUCUCCCGCCAUCGCUCCCGCUCAUUUUCUCUCUCUCUACUGCCGGAAGCGCAAUGGCCACCUCUCUUGCCGGCGGCGAUUUCCAGCGGAGCAUUGGCUGUAAUUUGCGGGAUCGCCGAACGGCCUUUGACUCGAUCGGUAUAUUUUCUCCGUCGACUCCAUUCGCGGAGUUCUCUCCCUCGUCGACUCCAUUGUCGUUACUUCCAAGAGCUCCAUUCCUAUGUUCCCUCUUUCGAAGAUGAGUUGGUUUCUUUCUCCGACCUGCCCCCUCACUCUGCUUCUCUCAGACGCCCUUCUCGAUUUCUCCAACUGCCAGAUUUCUAUUGCUUUAACCCUCUGUAAAACCCUAACUAUUCUGCUGUACAGAUCGAUCGCCAUCGACGGAUGUUUCCAUGGCAGAAAGGAUCAGAGUGGUUCGAUUGCUCUCUUUCACCGGCUCAAUCUCGGAAUCCUCUAUCUCUCUCUCGCGCGCACGCAUUUUUGUCUAAAAUUUGGAGUUGCAGCGCCUAGCUUUUGAGAUACGGGGAAUACUGUGGGCCCUGUAUGACGCAUGAUGCCAGCUGUGUCGUGGCCCAAGAAUGGCGAAUCCUCUUCCCCAGUCUCCACUUCGGGUUAUUUCGUUAGAAAUUUCAUGAAUCGGACCUUAACCGACUCGAAUCGAAGUGGGGGAAAUUAGGGCAAAGGGGCCAAGAUGAAGUGAUCAAGAGAGAAACGCAGAUGAGAAGGAAUCUGAAUGCUUCGUAAGAUGAAUUGGCUGUCACGAGAGUGGGAGACGUGGGCUUCGCGUCUUCGUCCAGAACCUCCAUUAUCGGUUCAGAGCAAGAAAAGGGUAGGGCAUGCACAACUACUCUUCCGGUACACUCACGGUCCUAAUAGUCGUCCUCUAAUGCAUCAUUUGGUACAAUAUGAGUCCAUGGCGCUGUUCUUGUUCGAGUACAGAGGUGGAGAUUGGGAAAGAUGGGAAGCUUGGUGUCAUGGCGAGGAAGUCAGCGAGUGGUUGGAAAUUUUAUUGGGUCGGUCUUACGGCAGAGCUCACUCUGGCCUUUCGUUGACUCUCUGGCCUUCGAAUUUGACCAACGCCGAGACUUAUUCUCGUAAUCGUCGAGGAAGCCGAUGCUCCGGCGAUCGAGUUUUAAUCAUUCUGAUUUCUGUUUGGUAAAUGCGAGUGGACGGCUGGCGUUAGACGGAGUUGCUGCGGGCCAAGAACCAGAAGAGUUGCUCUUAUGGUGUUUGGCACACUGCUGCCGUUUUUGAAGCAAUUAACGAACUUUCUGAUUCUGAUUCUGCUACUUCAGUGCACCCUUCAUAGGAAAGUUUCACACUUGAGGCGACGGAGACGAAGGAGCACUAUUGUGCUUCGAGAGCUGUUGCUGCUGCAACAUUUGUUGAUCAAAUGUUGUCUUGCUUGGUACUAGAGUGGUUAUGUUAGUUAUUUUGAUGCAACAUUGAAUGAAGAUGUACAUCCACGAAUUGAACCAUCCAUUGCAACUCCAAAUAUAUUGAGUUGAACCGCUGGAGUUGUUGUUGAUCAAAUGCUUGGACUAAAGGAGGAGAUUUGACAAUAGUCUUGGUUGAGAAGCUGAUAUAGUAAUACUUCGUCACCAAAAUCUAUUUUUUAUUAGUCGUUUGGUAGCCUCAAAGAAUGGAAAAACUAUUCCCAAGCUUUUGGGAUACUUUGCUGGUUAGGUCAAGAGACAAAGCAUUUCAAUGUUGGAAAGAUGUGACUCUUAUCCUUCAUAUGCUUGGUACUGAAUGAUGAAGGAACUUUAGAUUUCAAUAUGACUAUGUUUUCUUUCUUGUAAUAGCAUCGACCCCUAAGCAUGGAGCUAAUCAGGUACGUUUUCAAACAAGAUACAUGUUUGUCUGUUCUUUUGUAGCGAUUUUAUUAUUUUGUCUGGAGAUAGAAUCUUUAUGCUGCUACUUAGUAAAAAUGACAUAACACUUUGGGGAUAAAACCAACCACUAGAUGCAAUACAAAAUAUUUGGGAAAACAUGAUUGAGUUCUAAUCAUAUAGGUACUUGGAGUGCCAGAUAAACUUAUAUGUGCAGUAAGAUUAAAUUUUCAGAACUGAUCCCUGAAGGCAUAUCCCUGUUUUCUUUUUAGAUCAUUAUGAUAGCUUUUGUCACCCUUUCAAUUUGAUUAUCGCCACUGAUGUUGGAGCCUGAUUAUAAGUCUUCUAUUCUUUUGAAUUGGAGUCCUGUUGUAAUGAUGUAGUUUUGUUUAUUGGCUCCUUAACGUGAGGUUUCUUUUAGUUGCUGGUUUUUCUCAUUAAAAAAACCUAGCCUCCUCGAAUGUGGCAACAUCCACCCGACUAUGUCUUCUCUUCUUAUUUUAUAGACAUAGUGAGUCUUUAUCGAGAAAUGUCUAUGGAACUUAAGCAAUAGUCCAAGCAACAAUCUCCAACACAAACAUAACUCAACAAUUAAGGUAUUUAUUCCUUCCCUUAGGUCAGAGGUUCAAACCCCCACCCCAUAUUUAUUGUACUAAAAAAUAAUAGUCCACGACAAUCGAGAUGAGAAAAAAAGCAGCGAUGUUGGACUACUACCCUCCCCCAUGCUCAUAUGGCGAGCUCUAAUUCUACAGGUAUAGUUAUCUCCACCUUGAUAAUCUCCACCUUGAUUAUAACUUCCAUUCUACUCGCCACAAGAUCUUAGGUUUUGUCUGUAUUAAAGUUUCUUCAUUCCAUAACUUUGCACCCACCCUCCAUAGGAAGAGAUUGCAUUUAUUCUACAAAUCAUGUUAGGGUUUGCAAAGGGAGUGCAAACAAAAGUCCCACAUUGGUUAGGGAAAGAGAUGAUCAUGGAUAUUUAAAGAUAAGACAGUUACCACUAUUGUUAUGAGAUCUUUUAGGUGGAACCAAAAGUAAAGCCGUGAAGGCUAUGUCUAAAGCAGACAAUAUCAUACUAUUAUAGAGAUACGUGCAACUUUUUCAGGGCGGUCAGGUCUGAGAAAUCAAUGGCGAUAUUUCCAUUGAUCCACUCCUUAUAAGGCUAACCAGAUACCAUUCUCUAAACUAUGAUGAAACCAGAUAUCAUUCUAUCUUGUUGAGAUCUGCGCUCUACCUGCUGUUCCUUUUACUACCCCUGUGAAAGAUCUUGCUCUUGUCUUACUCCUUAACCUCAUCACUUCUUCACUUCCCACACUUUUCACUCAGUUUUUUUUUCCAUCUUCCAUGCCUGAUGCCUCCCUAUUGAAAUCCUCCGGAGAAUUUUUUGAUAGUGUUCUUGUUUCUAGUUUUUGAGAAACUCUACAUUGGAUAAUUAGAUGCUCU
Momordica charantia (bitter melon) is the source of this 3287-nucleotide long non-coding RNA. RefSeq lists it as uncharacterized. Lineage: Eukaryota; Viridiplantae; Streptophyta; Magnoliopsida; Cucurbitales; Cucurbitaceae. The record is from RefSeq and is a predicted model, not a curated record.